Molecule: non-coding RNA, 211 nt
Organism: Pelobates cultripes (western spadefoot toad)
Lineage: Eukaryota; Metazoa; Chordata; Amphibia; Anura; Pelobatidae
Source: the annotation of a GenBank genome assembly
CCAUCAACACCGCGGUCCCCCGUCCAGCAUUACAGCUUGGCUGGGAACUUACCGUCCUCCACCCACCAAACAUAAGGAUCCAGCUUCCAGUGGGUGAACCUCUCCUACUCCAGAGAGCAUAGCAGGAACAGCUCUUAAAAGAUCUACUGAUUAUAAUCCCAGGGGAGUAUAGUGAUAUAGCAAUCCCCAGGGUAGAUACAGCCGUUUCCCC